UACGGGGGGAGCAAGCGUUGUUCGGAUUUACUGGGCGUAAAGGGCGCGUAGGCGGUCAGCACAAGUCAGUUGUGAAAUCUCCGGGCUUAACUCGGAAAGGUCAACUGAUACUGUGCGACUAGAGUGCGGAAGGGGCAACUGGAAUUCUCGGUGUAGCGGUGAAAUGCGUAGAUAUCGAGAGGAACACCUGCGGCGAAGGCGGGUUGCUGGGCCGACACUGACGCUGGAUGCGCGAAAGCCAGGGGAGCGAACGGG
This 255-nucleotide ribosomal RNA is filed under the name uncultured bacterium. RNAcentral's name for it is "partial 16S ribosomal RNA". It matches the Rfam family "Bacterial small subunit ribosomal RNA", at positions 524 to 776 of the family's 1533-position model. The record is from RNAcentral.